GCCGGGUUCGCCGCCGGGAGCUGGGCCGGGUCACGGAGUUGUCCCCUGACAGACUUCUCCCUCUGGGCAGCGAGCAGGGCACCGUCCGCCACCUCAGGAACCGGAAAGAGAAUCAAUAACUUCAGGAAGAAAAAGAGAAAUAUACAAUGGAUGCCUGAACUUCUGUUCAAAAUUCAUCCACGCCCUCUGGCUGGAAUGGGAAAUGGAAGUGCGCAACGGACAGUGAAGGAAGGUGAAUCUCAGCUGGGAUUUUCCAUCAGACAAACAUAAACAUCCUUAGUACCAGCAACAUCCACUAAGCAUUACUACACGAGUAACUCAGAACUCAUCUGGAAUUGACUGGGGUUAAGAGGACAGAUGCUCAGGGGCUCUCUCAGAAGUACUUUACUGAGACAAUCAAGUUAGAACCAUUCUCUGACUACAGGAUGAGUGCGUGGCAUCAGA
Long non-coding RNA from Chroicocephalus ridibundus (black-headed gull), 444 nucleotides. RefSeq lists it as uncharacterized. The record is from RefSeq and is a predicted model, not a curated record. The transcript has 3 exons. NCBI's taxonomy places the organism in Eukaryota, Metazoa, Chordata, Aves, Charadriiformes, Laridae.